GGGCCCAUCGUCCAACAGCAGGAUGCCGCCUCCGCACCGCGGAGAUCGGGGUGCGAAUCCCCGUGGGUCCACCA
RNAcentral lists this transfer RNA (74 nucleotides) under Planctomycetaceae bacterium. RNAcentral's name for it is "tRNA-Ala". It matches the Rfam family "tRNA". Rfam says of the family: Transfer RNA (tRNA) molecules are approximately 80 nucleotides in length. Lineage: Bacteria; Pseudomonadati; Planctomycetota; Planctomycetia; Planctomycetales; Planctomycetaceae. The record is from RNAcentral.